AAAACAACUGACAUAUAAAGUGAGUUUGACCCUUAAUUUCCCAAUUGAUUUGGUUUCUUAUUUGCUAUGUACUCAGUGUAUAACUGAUUAAGGAGUUUCUCAGAAACCAUCUAAAAAAAACCUAGUGUAUUAAAGCAAUGUUCUCUUGAAGUUUUAGAGCAAAGGCAUGUCAGCUAUAGAGGAUGCCUUCUCAAGCAACUCUGAAGUCAAUGAUGGAAGUACAAAGUGUGACCUUUGGGGAAAGCAGAUGGAUAGACUUCUUUGCUCCACUGACCUGCCAGAUCUGGAGAACGUUGACCAUGUCAAGGUCUUUUGGGCACAAGACAGGAAGUUUAUGAAGAAAGUUCAUCAGAGCUGCAACACAGACACUAGACAUUCAACGAGAAAUGGGUCCUCCUUUGGGAACGAGGUGCUGGCAAUUUCUCUAAGGCCAACUUGUAAGGCACAGCUGGUAGAAAUCAAGCUGGAUUUAAAGCAUCUCAAUCUUUUCCAAUACUGGACAAUUCAUGGUUUACCAGCUGAGGUCUCUGCUCCAACUGAUUUUUGAAUGGACACAACUGGCCCCUCUCUGGAUGGAGAGACAAUUCAGUGGACUUAAUACAGUCAGAAUAGAAGAGGAUGUAUUUGUUGUUAAAGACCAAAUAACUCCUUUGUUUGAUUCUGGAUCAACAGAAGCUACAAGACCUAUUCCUGCCCUUCCUUUCUGGCUCCAUGUGGCCACAGAAGCAAAACCAAUGUCUGCAGUGCAGCCUUGUUAAAAGAUGCUUUUGUCAAUGGUUUAGUGAAAGUCUGUAUUUAAAGAGAUAUUUUGUUCAGGAGAGUUGCUAGAAUUCAUUGCUUUGUAAAGAAAAAUGAAGUGUAUUGGGGUGAAAAGCAAUUGGCUUAAAUUUUUUUGAAUCAAAGGUAAUUUUUCUAUUUCCUCCUGCAACAUUGCCUCAGUGGGGUGGAGGGGAUUAUGUAGCUCCAUGAAACUAUGAGCUAAGUCAUGCAAGGGUACCCAGAAUGGACAGGUCACAGAGGAAAAUCCUGACAAAAGGUGAUCCUCUGGAGAAGGAAAUGGCAAAACAUUUCAGUAUCUUUGCCAAAAACUGCAUGGACAGUAUUCUAUAGUCCAUGGGGCCGUGAAGAAUUGGAUAUGACUGAAUGACUGAACAACACAUUUUUUUUCUAUGCAUUAGAUGGUUUGGUCCUGGCAGAACUAAAACUUUUUGCAAUGUUAUAAAGAUGCUCUAAAUAAAAAAAAUGGACUCGUAUAUAUUAAUCGACA
Molecule: long non-coding RNA, 1267 nt
Filed under: Monodelphis domestica (gray short-tailed opossum)
Lineage: Eukaryota; Metazoa; Chordata; Mammalia; Didelphimorphia; Didelphidae
Description: lncRNA (ENSMODG00000049006.1)
Source: RNAcentral